Molecule: ribosomal RNA, 672 nt
Filed under: Streptomyces sp. FXJ6.301
Lineage: Bacteria; Bacillati; Actinomycetota; Actinomycetes; Kitasatosporales; Streptomycetaceae
Description: bacterial SSU rRNA
Rfam family: Bacterial small subunit ribosomal RNA
Source: RNAcentral
UCGAACGAUGAACCACUUCGGUGGGGAUUAGUGGCGAACGGGUGAGUAACACGUGGGCAAUCUGCCCUGCACUCUGGGACAAGCCCUGGAAACGGGGUCUAAUACCGGAUAUUGACCUUCACGGGCAUCUGUGAGGUUCGAAAGCUCCGGCGGUGCAGGAUGAGCCCGCGGCCUAUCAGCUUGUUGGUGAGGUAAUGGCUCACCAAGGCGACGACGGGUAGCCGGCCUGAGAGGGCGACCGGCCACACUGGGACUGAGACACGGCCCAGACUCCUACGGGAGGCAGCAGUGGGGAAUAUUGCACAAUGGGCGAAAGCCUGAUGCAGCGACGCCGCGUGAGGGAUGACGGCCUUCGGGUUGUAAACCUCUUUCAGCAGGGAAGAAGCGAAAGUGACGGUACCUGCAGAAGAAGCGCCGGCUAACUACGUGCCAGCAGCCGCGGUAAUACGUAGGGCGCAAGCGUUGUCCGGAAUUAUUGGGCGUAAAGAGCUCGUAGGCGGCUUGUCACGUCGGUUGUGAAAGCCCGGGGCUUAACCCCGGGUCUGCAGUCGAUACGGGCAGGCUAGAGUUCGGUAGGGGAGAUCGGAAUUCCUGGUGUAGCGGUGAAAUGCGCAGAUAUCAGGAGGAACACCGGUGGCGAAGGCGGAUCUCUGGGCCGAUACUGACGCUGAG